RNAcentral lists this ribosomal RNA (454 nucleotides) under Bacillus subtilis. RNAcentral describes it as "bacterial SSU rRNA". It matches the Rfam family "Bacterial small subunit ribosomal RNA", at positions 28 to 475 of the family's 1533-position model. The record is from RNAcentral. Lineage: Bacteria; Bacillati; Bacillota; Bacilli; Caryophanales; Bacillaceae.
GACGAACGCUGGCGGCGUGCCUAAUACAUGCAAGUCGAGCGGACAGAUGGGAGCUUGCUCCCUGAUGUUAGCGGCGGACGGGUGAGUAACACGUGGGUAACCUGCCUGUAAGACUGGGAUAACUCCGGGAAACCGGGGCUAAUACCGGAUGCUUGUUUGAACCGCAUGGUUCAAACAUAAAAGGUGGCUUCGGCUACCACUUACAGAUGGACCCGCGGCGCAUUAGCUAGUUGGUGAGGUAACGGCUCACCAAGGCAACGAUGCGUAGCCGACCUGAGAGGGUGAUCGGCCACACUGGGACUGAGACACGGCCCAGACUCCUACGGGAGGCAGCAGUAGGGAAUCUUCCGCAAUGGACGAAAGUCUGACGGAGCAACGCCGCGUGAGUGAUGAAGGUUUUCGGAUCGUAAAGCUCUGUUGUUAGGGAAGAACAAGUGCCGUUCAAAUAGGGCGG